UGGGGAAUAUUGGACAAUGGGCGCAAGCCUGAUCCAGCCAUGCCGCGUGGGUGAAGAAGGCCUUCGGGUUGUAAAGCCCUUUUGUUGGGGAAGAAAUCGUGCAGGUGAAUAUCCUGCGCGGAUGACGGUACCCAAAGAAUAAGCACCGGCUAACUUCGUGCCAGCAGCCGCGGUAAUACGAAGGGUGCAAGCGUUACUCGGAAUUACUGGGCGUAAAGCGUGCGUAGGCGGUUCGUUAAGUCCGUUGUGAAAGCCCUGGGCUCAACCUGGGAAUUGCAGUGGAUACUGGCGAGCUAGAGUACGGUAGAGGAUGGUGGAAUUCCCGGUGUAGCGGUGAAAUGCGUAGAGAUCGGGAGGAACACCCGUGGCGAAGGCGGCCAUCUGGACCAGUACUGACGCUGAGGCACGAAAGCGUGGGGAGCAAACAGGAUUAGAUACCCUGGUAGUCCACGCCCUAAACGAUGCGAACUGGAUGUUGGGCACACUUAGGUGCUCAGUGUCGAAGCUAACGCGUUAAGUUCGCCGCCUGGGGAGUACGGUCGCAAGACUGAAACUCAAAUGAAUUGACGGGGUCAUAGCUGUUUCCUG
RNAcentral lists this ribosomal RNA (588 nucleotides) under uncultured bacterium. RNAcentral's name for it is "partial 16S ribosomal RNA". It matches the Rfam family "Bacterial small subunit ribosomal RNA", at positions 355 to 1376 of the family's 1533-position model. The record is from RNAcentral.